Molecule: ribosomal RNA, 465 nt
Filed under: uncultured bacterium
Lineage: Bacteria
Description: partial 16S ribosomal RNA
Rfam family: Bacterial small subunit ribosomal RNA
Source: RNAcentral
GACGAACGCUGGCGGCGUGCUUAACACAUGCAAGUCGAACGGAAAGGCCCUGCUUGCAGGGUACUCGAGUGGCGAGCGGGUGAGUAACACGUGUGUGAUCUGCCCUGCACUUCGGGAUAAGCCUGGGAAACUGGGUCUAAUACCGGGGAGGAGCCCUCUUUAUUGUGAUGGUUGGAAAGUUUUUUCGGUGUAGGAUGAGCUCGCGGGCUAUCAGCUUUGUGGUGGGGUAAUGGCCUACCAAGGCGGCGACUGGUAGCCGGCCUGGGGGGGUGGACGGCCAACUUUGGGCUUGGGGACGGCCCCGAACCCUACCGGAGGGAAGAGGGGGGAAAAUUGCACAAUGGGCGCGAGCCCGAUGGAGGCACGCCGCGGUGGGGAUGAACGGCUUCCGGUUUGUAACCCCCUUCGCUCGGGGAGGAACUGUGAGUGACGGUACCUAGUUAAGAAGCACCGGCUAACUACGUG